RNAcentral lists this ribosomal RNA (780 nucleotides) under uncultured Nocardioides sp. RNAcentral describes it as "bacterial SSU rRNA". It matches the Rfam family "Bacterial small subunit ribosomal RNA", at positions 51 to 843 of the family's 1533-position model. The record is from RNAcentral. Lineage: Bacteria; Bacillati; Actinomycetota; Actinomycetes; Propionibacteriales; Nocardioidaceae.
ACACAUGCAAGUCGAGCGGAAAGGCCCUUUCGGGGGUACUCGAGCGGCGAACGGGUGAGUAACACGUGAGUAAUCUGCCCUGCGCUCUGGGAUAGCCACCGGAAACGGUGAUUAAUACCGGAUAGGACCACUUCACGCAUGUGAUGGUGGCGGAAAGUUUUUUCGGCGCAGGAUGUGCUCGCGGCCUAUCAGCUUGUUGGUGAGGUAACGGCUCACCAAGGCUUUGACGGGUAACCGGCCUGAGAGGGUGACCGGUCACACUGGGACUGAGACACGGCCCAGACUCCUACGGGAGGCAGCAGUGGGGAAUAUUGGACAAUGGGCGGAAGCCUGAUCCAGCAACGCCGCGUGAGGGAUGACGGCCUUCGGGUUGUAAACCUCUUUCAGUACCGACGAAGCGAAAGUGACGGUAGGUACAGAAGAAGGACCGGCCAACUACGUGCCAGCAGCCGCGGUAAUACGUAGGGUCCGAGCGUUGUCCGGAAUUAUUGGGCGUAAAGGGCUCGUAGGCGGUUUGUCGCGUCGGGAGUGAAAACACCGGGCUUAACUCGGUGCUUGCUUUCGAUACGGGCAGACUAGAGGUAUGCAGGGGAGAAUGGAAUUCCUGGUGUAGCGGUGAAAUGCGCAGAUAUCAGGAGGAACACCGGUGGCGAAGGCGGUUCUCUGGGCAUUACCUGACGCUGAGGAGCGAAAGUGUGGGGAGCGAACAGGAUUAGAUACCCUGGUAGUCCACACCGUAAACGUUGGGCGCUAGGUGUGGGGCCUAUUCCAUGGGUUCCG